Molecule: long non-coding RNA, 278 nt
Filed under: Oryza brachyantha (malo sina)
Lineage: Eukaryota; Viridiplantae; Streptophyta; Magnoliopsida; Poales; Poaceae
Description: long non-coding RNA (OBRA_LNC002164)
Source: RNAcentral
GGGGAAAUGGUGAUUCACUGAAUCACUGCUGACUGCCUUAUGUCUCACAACUUGAACAAAAAAAAUGACACCCCUCGCGACAUAUGUAUACGGUGUAAAACCAAGCACAAUGAAUGCUAAAAUGAUAUCUCCUAGGAUUAGGUUAAUGCUCAUGUGGUGAGGCUUUUUUUUGGGAGAAAGAGGCAUCUAGGAAUCAACGUUGAGAAGAAUGUCUACAAGAUGAGAGCGAGAUGUUGAAGAGUGGGUGUUGUCCAUAUACAGUAGCGGAUGCAGCACAG